AGGGGUUUAGGAUAGCACUAGACCGAAAGCCUUCAAAGCUUUAAGCGGGGGUGAAAACCCCCCAACCCCUG
This 71-nucleotide transfer RNA is filed under the name Galaxias sp. 'southern' (southern flathead galaxias). RNAcentral's name for it is "tRNA-Trp". It matches the Rfam family "tRNA". Rfam says of the family: Transfer RNA (tRNA) molecules are approximately 80 nucleotides in length. Their secondary structure includes four short double-helical elements and three loops (D, anti-codon, and T loops). Lineage: Eukaryota; Metazoa; Chordata; Actinopteri; Galaxiiformes; Galaxiidae. The record is from RNAcentral.